This 301-nucleotide ribosomal RNA is filed under the name uncultured bacterium. RNAcentral's name for it is "partial 16S ribosomal RNA". It matches the Rfam family "Bacterial small subunit ribosomal RNA", at positions 509 to 807 of the family's 1533-position model. The record is from RNAcentral.
CAGUAGCCGCGGUAAUACGAAGGGUGCAAGCGUUAAUCGGAAUUACUGGGCGUAAAGCGCGCGUAGGUGGUUUGGUAAGAUGGAUGUGAAAUCCCCGGGCUCAACCUGGGAACUGCAUCCAUAACUGCCUGACUAGAGUACGGUAGAGGGUGGUGGAAUUUCCUGUGUAGCGGUGAAAUGCGUAGAUAUAGGAAGGAACACCAGUGGCGAAGGCGACCACCUGGACUGAUACUGACACUGAGGUGCGAAAGCGUGGGGAGCAAACAGGAUUAGAUACCCGCGUAGUCCCUGUCUCUUAUAC